AAUAUUUGACAAUGGGCGAAAGCCUGAUCCAGCCAUGCCGCGUGUGUGAAGAAGGUCUUCGGAUUGUAAACUUCUGUCUUCAGGGAAGAAGGAAGUGACGGUACCUGAGGAGGAAGCCCCGGCUAACUACGUGCCAGCAGCCGCGGUAAUACGUAGGGGGCGAGCGUUGUCCGGAAUGACUGGGCGUAAAGGGCGCGUAGACGGCUUUUUAAGUCUGGAGUGAAAAUCCUGCUUUCAAGGUAGGAAUUGCUUUGGAGACUGGAAGGCUUGAGUGCGGAAGAGGUAAGUGGAAUUCCCAGUGUAGCGGUGAAAUGCGUAGAGAUUGGGAAGAACACCAGUGGCGAAGGCGACUUACUGGGCCGUAACUGACGUUGAUGCGCGAAAGCGUGGGGAGCGAACAGG
This 402-nucleotide ribosomal RNA is filed under the name uncultured bacterium. Its description in RNAcentral is "partial 16S ribosomal RNA". It matches the Rfam family "Bacterial small subunit ribosomal RNA", at positions 360 to 776 of the family's 1533-position model. The record is from RNAcentral.